This 3560-nucleotide ribosomal RNA is filed under the name Triticum aestivum (bread wheat). Its description in RNAcentral is "partial small subunit ribosomal RNA". Lineage: Eukaryota; Viridiplantae; Streptophyta; Magnoliopsida; Poales; Poaceae. The record is from RNAcentral.
AGAAGGGAAAGAGAGAGGAGUAGUAGGUAGGGACCCUUCUUUCGUUUUCGCCGUGCGCGUAUGUGUGGGGGUGGAGGGAGGGAAAGAGAGAGGGGGGUGGUCGAUCUCUCUCUCUCUCUCUCGCUCUCCGUUCGACGGGACGGCUGGAGGCGCUGGCGGCGGCGACGGCUGCGCUACCGGGCGGACAAGGCGCUGGGGGCGGCGCUGAGGCGGAGGAGGAGGAGGUUACCGAAGCGCGGGGGCCAGCGCAGCGGGCGGCGGAGGCGCGACGGCAGCGGCAAGGGGCUGGAGCCGCACGUCGAGAGGCGCCGGCUCGAGGCGCUCUGGCGGAUGCUCCAGGAGCAGAGGCGCAGGGCGUGGUGGCCGCCGUUCGGGGAGUGGAUGUAGGGGGUCCGCCCGGGGCGCAGGGGGCGGAGCCGGAGGAGCCGCAGGAGGCAGUUGUCGAGGAGGAGCAGCGAGGUCGCGAGCGAAUGGAGCCGGCGGCGGUCGUUCUACUUCUUCCGCGAGCCCGAGUUCAGGAGCCGGAGCAGGUUCCCCCCGUCGGGCCCCUCGCCUCCACGGCCCCAGUUCCGCCGGGGCGUCGCCGGCCGCUGCCAGCCCCUCGACUACGCCCGCGUCUACGCGCACAGCCUCGGGCGGCUGCGGUCCUAGGCCUCCCCGGAGGAGGCGUAGCGGCGCCCAGUCGAACCGUCCGCGCGCCUUCGAUACCAAAAUGGGAACCUUAAGGACGUCGUCAAGUUCCGUAGUCUAAAGGGACUAGAAGUUCUUGUGCUCCGUACCGUCCCGUCCUUGAACUUCGAAUAACUCCGACCAAACGAGCAAGUGGGCAAACAAGGCGACUUGUUUAGUCUGUCAAGACGUGUUGCCGACUUCGUUUAGUAUGCACCUCGUAUACUAUCCGGUGAACUUUGACCCUUUUUGAGUCUCAGCUACGUCCAGAAUGCGUGACGACAGUACAGGGAACGACCUUCCAGGGUACUACCUUGAAGACUACCUACGGUGACCCGUCUACCAAAGGGGAACUUAGAGGUAGAAAUGGUUUACAACCAUCUUCGAACGAAACUAUCACUACUAUCGUGACACCAACUGCUCUAACUACUCCACUAACUCGAGAACUUCUUCUGAACCCAAUAAGAACCUUAAUUGGUCUACGAAGUAUUAGAAACGAAACGAACCCGUAACAAGUUAGUAAAACAAUACAGUCCGGUUCAUCUAUAGCUCGACGAAAGACGACGACUCUUAGUCAACCAACUUCAACGUUUCCUACGGUUUUGGUGAUUCCUAGGUUUAAUGACAUUUCAUAACUCAAGUUGUAAUUCGAGCUAUUACCCGACCUGUCUUUUUUCUGAAGACCGCAUGGUACUUUGUAAAUUAUGUUCAUUGUAGCUCAGGUACGUUCCAUAACAGAGUUAACCUCACUGUCGACGUUUCCACGAACAACUUCUAUAUAGGGUACUUAUGGCGGCAUCCUCCUUUCUUCUCUGACUACAUCGAGCUUCAUCCUAUCUUUGUAUACAUUCCAGAAGUGAGGCAUGUCGAAAACGAGUUUCUUACCUUCUUCGUCUAAGUUUCGCUAGUAGUUCCUUGGGAUGGGGUCAAUACAGAUAGGAACGUUUCCUGUAACCACUGGAUCGUUAAUUCCUCUUUUUAGACAUGUCAGGUUAUGACUUCUGUACCGUAGGGGAGCGAAGUCCACAACGACAACGUUGGGAAGUAAGUACAAUACCUUCACUCGACUUCGUCAAGUAUCGACCCGAAUGUCUCAAUUGGGGCCUCUGUCAAGUUCACGAGUUCAGACGUCUGUUUAAUCUUUUCCUAGAGCAAUUAUAACGACAGCUUCUAAGACACCUAUCACUACUACCUCCGUUCAGUAAUUAGUCUCUCUACGGUGGUAUACUUCGACUUUUACGUUAACGAUUAGAACACUUUCACACCUAUUUUCUUUCCCACCUAUCUGAGUUCCCUACCCAACUGGCCUUAGACUUCGUUCUCUGUACCUCAGGUCCACGGUUGUCUCUAUUGAAACGAGGGAGCAGACACCUCUACGAAGCCUAAUAACCCCUUUGUGACCUACGUAAAAAGCUUAACGGGUAUGGUUACGUAGGUCGAGAAGAAGGACUAGACUGUCAUCCAGACCUAUCUUCGAAUGUCGAUAUACACAGAUUUCGUUUUAGACCGACACCCAGUGCCUCAAGAAAAUAUGGGCUUGAUGGAGGUGAUUGCGCUACACUCCAACCGAGCUUUGAUGAUAAGUUCUUUUUCCUCUUCGGUGUCUUAGGUGUCGUAGCUCCUGGUGUUUUACCUCGUUGGUUACCUUGACUGGGGAACCCGGAAGGAGUUGAAACACAUGCGAACUUAUGUGAAGUCAUGUAGGCUUCGCUCGACCUCUUGGAUCUCUUCUUCUAAUUUUGUACGAACGCCUUGCAGCUCAGUCGAGUCCGUCUAUAAUGAUUACCUAACCUCAAGUUCAAACUUGAAACAGUCCGCCGGACAGUUCUUCCAUAUGUUGUGAACACACUCUGCUGACGAAUGUUCCAGUGGAAAAAGCUGAACCCGGUAUAAGACACCCUGUGAGAGAUGUAGCCACUAGAACGUAGCUCGUCCCACCUGAAUAACAACUCUCUCGAACUAGGAUAGGACCUCUGUUAUAGUCCAUGCCACGUGUAGUUCCACGCCUUGGCACGGUAUUGCCGUAACUACUUUCGGUGUAAGCUGCCGAAGAACGACCAAUAGGAACGACCACCCGGAGACGCACGAAAAUGGGCCGUCCUGAGAGUCUAUUAUCUCCCGCUGAAGUCCAGGGAGUCUCUGGACAAAGACCGGCUGCCUCUACCAAACGGCCUCCUCGACCAACUGUUCCGCAGGAGGGUCCAUUUCUUACAGGACGGGGAGGAUGCUUGUCUGAGCCUUCCGGAGUAGCUCGCCAAGUUUGCUGACUAACGGCUAAGCCUAGUUUCGGCUUGACGGAGGUCCCCGUUCAACGGCUACGGUUGCUGAUGUCCUGUGACCUCAGGUUUACUACGCUUGUGCCAGGACGCCCAGGACACGAUGGCCGUGCUCCUCCGCCGAUGUUCCAAGGAGUUCUUUUGGAUACCGGAAGGGUUCUUCGAAACUGUACCCUACUAUCGAGUACUGUGUGUCCAACAUGUAAAGGUUCGGCGGCGGCGAUAGAUAGUGUUGUCUAUAAACGAGCCCUAUUACAUAACCUAUAUAGAGCUAAGGCAAAAUGAUCAAACGUUGUCUUGAAACACAACAUCUACAAGAACCAAUUCCUCUUGGUUGUACACCAACCAACUAGUCCUCCCGUCAUGAUAGUCCCAAGUUUGGGAUCCAAAAAUGCGAAAACACGGAGUAUUACCACCUUAUAAGUAAGUCACCCUCCACUGCAAGAACAGCUGUCGCUCCGCAGCCACCACUGAAACAGUUAUAGUUCUGAACAACCGAAUCAAAAAACCUACACAAAUAAAUAUCCCUAACCCACAACAUUGGCGUUAUUAAACUUCAAGAGUAUAUUCGUGUUCCCGUUGUUGGAACGUUUAAAUAUACGUAACAUUGGCGUC